UAGGGAAUCUUGCGCAAUGGACGAAAGUCUGACGCAGCGACGCCGCGUGCGGGAAGAAGGCCUUAGGGUUGUAAACCGCUUUCAGGAGGGAAGAAGCGAAAGUGACGGUACCUCCAGAAGAAGGACCGGCCAACUACGUGCCAGCAGCCGCGGUAAUACGUAGGGUCCGAGCGUUGUCCGGAAUUACUGGGCGUAAAGAGCUCGUAGGCGGUCCAUUUAGUCGGCUGUGAAAGCUCAGGGCUUAACCCUGAAAUAGCAGCCGAUACUGGUGGACUUGAGGCAGGUAGGGGAAGGUGGAAUUCCUGGUGUAGCGGUGGAAUGCGCAGAUAUCAGGAGGAACACCAGUGGCGAAGGCGGCCUUCUGGGCCUGAUCUGACGCUGAGGAGCGAAAGCGUGGGGAGCAAACAGG
Molecule: ribosomal RNA, 409 nt
Filed under: uncultured prokaryote
Also listed under: 1 other name
Description: bacterial SSU rRNA
Rfam family: Bacterial small subunit ribosomal RNA
Source: RNAcentral